GAUGAAUGCUGGCGGCGUGCCUAAUACAUGCAAGUCGAGCGCAGGAAAUCGACGGAACCCUUCGGGGGGAAGUCGAUGGAAUGAGCGGCGGACGGGUGAGUAACACGUAAAGAACCUGCCCUCAGGUCUGGGAUAACCACGAGAAAUCGGGGCUAAUACCGGAUGGGUCAUCGGACCGCAUGGUCCGAGGAUGAAAGGCGCUUCGGCGGCGCCUGGGGAUGGCUUUGCGGUGCAUUAGCUAGUUGGUGGGGUAAUGGCCCACCAAGGCGACGAUGCAUAGCCGACCUGAGAGGGUGAUCGGCCACACUGGGACUGAGACACGGCCCAGACUCCUACGGGAGGCAGCAGUAGGGAAUCUUCCACAAUGGACGAAAGUCUGAUGGAGCAACGCCGCGUGAACGAUGAAGGCCUUCGGGUCGUAAAGCUCUGUUGUAAGGGAAGAACAAGUGCCGCAGGCAAUGGCGGCACCUUGACGGUACCUUGCGAGAAAGCCACGGCUAACUACGUGCCAGCCGCCGCGGUAA
This 524-nucleotide ribosomal RNA is filed under the name uncultured bacterium. RNAcentral describes it as "partial 16S ribosomal RNA". It matches the Rfam family "Bacterial small subunit ribosomal RNA", at positions 28 to 523 of the family's 1533-position model. The record is from RNAcentral.